This 387-nucleotide long non-coding RNA is filed under the name Ananas comosus (pineapple). RNAcentral describes it as "long non-coding RNA (ACOM_LNC019064)". Lineage: Eukaryota; Viridiplantae; Streptophyta; Magnoliopsida; Poales; Bromeliaceae. The record is from RNAcentral.
GUAUCUAAUAUAUAUAGAGAGAGAGAGGGUUCGACUAUGGUGCUUUUGGAAGUAUAAAGAAAUUGGUGCUUCUAAUUUUUAACUCUUUAAUUAUUUUUAACUUUUGAAUUAAUAUUAUUUUCCUAGGGUACCACUGUACUACUCUAUCCUAGGGAAACCACCUCUUAAUUCCAACCGUACAGUUCUUGAUCCAAACGUUAAAAGAUAAAAAACAUUAUCUUCUUUAUACUUUCGAAAGUAUAGUACGUAGCUAAAUGAGUAAUGCUUCUAUACUCUUUUUUUUUCUUUCCCGUUCAUUCCAGCGUAUUCAACGGCUUAGAUUUAAUUUUUUUAAAAUAAUUUUUUUACCUGUUAAAUAUUAAAAUUAUAUUAUAUAUAUAUAUUGUG